This 82-nucleotide small nucleolar RNA is filed under the name Carlito syrichta (Philippine tarsier). RNAcentral describes it as "Small nucleolar RNA SNORD115 (ENSTSYG00000027533.1)". It matches the Rfam family "Small nucleolar RNA SNORD115". From Rfam's summary of the family: HBII-52 is a member of the C/D class of snoRNAs, which contain the C (UGAUGA) and D (CUGA) box motifs. Lineage: Eukaryota; Metazoa; Chordata; Mammalia; Primates; Tarsiidae. The record is from Rfam by way of RNAcentral.
UGGCCAAUGAUGAGUACUUUAUAUUGUUUUGUGGAGUGGUGAUGACUUAAGUAUCAUGUACAAUAGCAUGAUGCUGAGGCCC